AUUGAACGCUGGCGGCAUGCCUUACACAUGCAAGUCGAACGGUAACAGGUCUUCGGAUGCUGCCGAGUGGCGAACGGGUGAGUAAUACAUCGGAACGUGCCCGAUCGUGGGGGAUAACGAGGCGAAAGCUUUGCUAAUACCGCAUACGAGCUACGGGUGACAGCGGGGGAUCUUCGGACCUCGCGCGGACGGAGCGGCCGAUGGCAGAUUAGGUAGUUGGUGGGAUAAAGGCUUACCAAGCCGACGAUCUGUAGCUGGUCUGAGAGGAUGAUCAGCCACACUGGGACUGAGACACGGCCCAGACUCCUACGGGAGGCAGCAGUGGGGAAUUUUGGACAAUGGGCGAAAGCCUGAUCCAGCCAUGCCGCGUGCAGGAUGAAGGCCUUUGGGUUGUAAACUGCUUUUGUACGGAACGAAAAGCCUCUUGCUAAUAAAGAGGGGUCAUGACGGUACCGUAAGAAUAAGCACCGGCUAACUACGUG
Molecule: ribosomal RNA, 482 nt
Filed under: uncultured bacterium
Lineage: Bacteria
Description: partial 16S ribosomal RNA
Rfam family: Bacterial small subunit ribosomal RNA
Source: RNAcentral